GACGAACGCUGGCGGCGUGCUUAACACAUGCAAGUCGAACGGAAAGGCCCUGCUUUUGUGGGGUGCUCGAGUGGCGAACGGGUGAGUAACACGUGAGUAACCUGCCCUUGACUUUGGGAUAACUUCAGGAAACUGGGGCUAAUACCGGAUAGGAGCUCCUGCUGCAUGGUGGGGGUUGGAAAGUUUCGGCGGGUGGGGAUGGACUCGCGGCUUAUCAGCUUGUUGGUGGGGGAGUGGCUUACCAAGGCUGUGACGGGUAGCCGGCCUGAGAGGGUGACCGGCCACAUUGGGACUGAGAGACGGCCCAGACUCCUACGGGAGACAGCAGUGGGGAAUAUUGCACAAUGGGCGCAAGCCUGAGGCAGCAGCGCCGCGUGCGGGAUGACGGCCUUCGGGUUGUAAACCGCUUUCGCCUGUGACGAAGCUUGAGUGACGGUAAUGGGUAAAGAAGCACCGGCUAACUACGUG
Molecule: ribosomal RNA, 468 nt
Filed under: uncultured bacterium
Lineage: Bacteria
Description: partial 16S ribosomal RNA
Rfam family: Bacterial small subunit ribosomal RNA
Source: RNAcentral